CAUACUAAGACCAUGUACCCGGCACGACUGUCAUCAAAAAAAUGACAGUUAACAUAGACAUUGUGGCUUACUACCUGCGUUCCCACCCAGCCAGGCAUUUGGUAGAUUAUUUAGUGAUGGGUUUCUCACGGGCCUCAUUGCCAUCCCCACAGACACACUCAAAUGCCCUAACCUAUUGUCAGCAUCUAACGACCCUCUUAUGGUGGAUCGCCAAGGCUGGUUUCAUGAUUGGUCCUUUCACAUCAUCACCGUCUUCAUCCUGGCAUACCAACCCCAUUGGGGUAGCCGUACACAAGUACUCAAAUAAAAAGAGAUUGAUUAUCGACCUCUCUGCACCUUAUUCUUCUUCCAUCACUAGCAUCAACUCUCUCACUAUGCAAAAAUUGAUGACGCUAUGCAAGCUAUCAUCACAGCAGGCAGUAAGGCAUGGUUCAGCAAGACUGAUAUUACCAACGCCUUCAAGCUCCUACCCAUUCACCCCUCACUAUGGCACUUGCACGGUGUUAAAUGGCGGGACAGGUAUUUUUUUUCUAUCCGGCUCACUUUCGGGUUUAGGAGCAGCCCCAAGCUGUUUGACAUUUUCGCAGAGACCUUCUGUUGGCUGCUCCUAAACAUAGUUAUCCACUACGUGGACAAUUUUUUGUUGGUAGACCCAGGCUUACAAACACCCAGUAGCAUUCACAGCACCACAGCCCUUUUCAAUACACUAGGGGUACCCCUGUCACCAAGUAAAACGCUUGGACCCUCUACCAAGCUAGUUUUCUUGGGCAUAGUCUUAGACACUAUAUCUUUUCAAGCCAGCCUACCAUCCGAGAAAUUGACUCACAUUAGGGAUGAAAUCAGCCUGUUUCUGCGGAGUGAGACAUGCACCAGAAAGGGACUCCUGUCUUUAUUGGGGUCCCUUAACUUCACGAUGCGUAUCAUUUCGCAGGACAGAUCAUUCAUCUCUAGACUACUGUGUUUACUCCCUGGGGUGCCCGACUCCUUCCCAAUUAUAUUGGAUGGUCCUGCCAGGGCAGAUUUGCACAUGUGGAGUAACUUCUUGGCCGAAUGGCUCUCACCCACUAUCUACACAGAUGCAGCAGCACACACAGGGUUUGCAGCUAUUUUUGGCAACCACUGGUUUAGGGAUAACUAGCCCACUGAGACGGAUGCCUUGCCGGCCUUUAGAGAAACAUCCUUAUUGUUCGAGAUUUACCCCAUCGUGGCAGCCGCCCAUACAUGGGGUCAUCUCUGGACUUGCAAUGCAGUUAAAUGCUACUCAGACAAUUCAGCAACUUGCGAAAUUAUUAACAAGGGGCGGUCAUCCUCUCUAACCAUCAUGAGGCUGAUACGCAAGCUGACUUGGCUGGCAGCAACCGCUCAGUUCCACCUAGUCUGCGUACACAUUACUGGUAUCCAUAACACAGCUGCUGACGCUCUUUCACGCUCUCAAUUUCAGGUCUUCUUCCAGGCACUCCAUUCGACCCACCACCUACCAUCCAGGAUAGCACCUUUCCAUGAGCUAAUUCUGGAUUAAACGAGCUACUACACCACGCUCAGGCACUAAUGCACCACGCAUAUUCACCCAACACCACUAUCACUUACGCUAGGGCACUGUCUAUUUUUUUUUGUCUAUUAUCCCAUAAUACCAUUAAGCUUUACCUUACUGGGGUUCAACACCAUGUCCUCACUAACAUUCCUAAUCAUGCACCUUUCUUAGCAUCAUAGCCUAUUAAAAAAAUCCUCAAGGGUAUUUACAAGGUUACAGUUCCACCUGUCACUACCAGAUUGCCUAUAGAUGGUCCUAUUUUUAGGCUACUUAGCGACCUAUUGGACAUAUCCCGUUUGACUAUCCCAUUCACACUAACCUGGUUAUAAAGGCAGCUAUAUUUAUUGCUUUCUAUGGUUUCCUCAGACCUAGGUAGUUCACAGUCAUAUGCCAAGUACAUACCACAUUAAGCCUGAAACUAUCUCAUCUAAAGAAAGUAGAAGACCACUACGUACUUUCAUUACCUUCCACAAAAACUAACCACACCAUUCAUCCCACUAUCAUUCCCCUCUUCCCUACCGAGAAUGCCUGGUGCCCAGUCAAAGUAGUUGACAUAUUCCUGGUAUCUCACCACACUCACUCACUGGACACUCCACUAUUACUACUCCAAGGGCACCCACUCACCACAACUAAAUUCACAUCUCACGUCAGAACUCUACUGUUAAGGUUGGGCUACAACUCGGCUUCCUUCUCCGGUCACUCCUUCCGUAUAGCCGCAGUAUCUUCAGCAUCAAGCUCAAACACACCAGUCCACAUCAUUAAGAGACUAGGCCACUGGAAAUCCUCCAUUUACAAUACCUACAUACCAC
This 2340-nucleotide long non-coding RNA is filed under the name Pelobates cultripes (western spadefoot toad). Lineage: Eukaryota; Metazoa; Chordata; Amphibia; Anura; Pelobatidae. The record is from RNAcentral.